This 90-nucleotide transfer RNA is filed under the name Propionibacteriaceae bacterium. Its description in RNAcentral is "tRNA-Ser". It matches the Rfam family "tRNA". Rfam says of the family: Transfer RNA (tRNA) molecules are approximately 80 nucleotides in length. Their secondary structure includes four short double-helical elements and three loops (D, anti-codon, and T loops). Lineage: Bacteria; Bacillati; Actinomycetota; Actinomycetes; Propionibacteriales; Propionibacteriaceae. The record is from RNAcentral.
GGAGGCGUCGCCUAGUCGGCCUAUGGCGCCCGCCUGCUAAGCGGGAGACGGUGUUGAACCGUCACGCGGGUUCGAAUCCCGCCGCCUCCG